GGCUUGUUGAUUAUAAUUUCAAGUCUGACCUGCCCAGUGAGGAGUUUAACGGCCGCGGUAUAUUGACCGUGCAAAGGUAGCAUAAUCAUUAGUUUUUUAAUUGAAAGCUUGAAUAAAAGGUUUGAUGAAAAAAAUUCUGUCUCUGUAGGAAUUUAUUAGAAUUUUAUUUUUAAGUAAAAAGGCUUAAAUAUCAAUAGAAGACGAGAAGACCCUAUAGAAUUUUAUGUUUUGCUUGUAGUAAAAUUUGAAGAAAGGAAAAUUUUAUUGUGUGUUAGAAUAUUUUGUUGGGGUGAUAGAAAAAUUAAAUUAACUUUUUUUAAAUUAAUACACUAAUUUGUGAUUAAAUGAUCCUAAAAUUUAGAUUAUAAGAUUAAAUUACCUUAGGGAUAACAGCGUAAUUUUUCUUAGAGUUCUUAUUGAAAGAAAAGAUUGCGACCUCGAUGUUGGAUUAAAAUUAAUUAUUGGUGUAGAAGCUAAUGUAAUUAGGUCUGUUCGACCUUUAAAAUUUUACAUGAUCUGAGUUUAAACCGGUGUGAG
Molecule: ribosomal RNA, 537 nt
Filed under: Trigonopterus sp. 707 AR-2022a
Lineage: Eukaryota; Metazoa; Arthropoda; Insecta; Coleoptera; Curculionidae
Description: partial large subunit ribosomal RNA
Rfam family: Bacterial large subunit ribosomal RNA
Source: RNAcentral